This 234-nucleotide ribosomal RNA is filed under the name uncultured bacterium. Its description in RNAcentral is "partial 16S ribosomal RNA". It matches the Rfam family "Bacterial small subunit ribosomal RNA", at positions 99 to 334 of the family's 1533-position model. The record is from RNAcentral.
CGGACGGGUGAGUAAUGCUUAGGAAUCUGCCCAUGUAGUGGGGGGACAACCUGGUGAAAACCAGGCUAAUACCGCAUAAGCCCUUCGGGGGAAAGCAGGGGAUCUUCGGACCUUGCGCUAUUGGAUGAGCCUAAGUCGGAUUAGCUUGUUGGUGGGGUAACGGCCUACCAAGGCGACGAUCCGUAGCUGGUCUGAGAGGAUGAUCAGCCACACUGGGACUGAGACACGGCCCAG